Molecule: long non-coding RNA, 571 nt
Organism: Lemur catta (Ring-tailed lemur)
Lineage: Eukaryota; Metazoa; Chordata; Mammalia; Primates; Lemuridae
Exons: 3
Source: RefSeq, a predicted model, not a curated record
GUGAGACGUCUUGGGCAGAGGGCUUCUGGCCCGUAGUGUGAAAACUCCCUCGUUCCAAGCCGUAGGCGCGGAAUUGGACCCUAGGGACUCAGCGUUGAGCAGAGCGGGAAGGGGCCCUUCUUUCGUGGAAUUUACUUUCUAAUGGGGAGCCAGAUUACCGAGAAAACGACGUUCAUUUCUCCUAGAAUCUUCUGCUAUGAGGGUAGCAAAACGCUAAAAACGUGGGAGGGCGCCGACACGGGAGUGAGAAGCUUUCUAGGCGGGGAAGACGGGUGCACAAUACUGUCAGCUCCAUGAGGAUGAAGUUGUGUUUGCUCAGCAUUCUUUUCCCAGUGCCUGAUGCAGGCCCUGGACACAGCAAGCCCCCUCUGGAUUUAAACUUCUUAGCAUCAAGAUCCUACAAUAACAUCCAUUUCCCUGGACCUUCUUUGGAUCGAGAUGAAAGUCAAAAGAAGAAAGGCUCAGAAGACUCACCCUAGAUUAGGCCCUGCAGGCUGCAUCCAUCCUCAUGACCAUUUCACGCACUCCUUGAAGUGUCUUAAUCUAUCAUAGCCCCUACCAGCAAGGUGAA